RNAcentral lists this ribosomal RNA (379 nucleotides) under uncultured eukaryote. RNAcentral describes it as "partial 18S ribosomal RNA". It matches the Rfam family "Eukaryotic small subunit ribosomal RNA", at positions 592 to 976 of the family's 1831-position model. The record is from RNAcentral.
CAAUAGCGUAUAUUAAAGUUGUUGCGGUAAAAAAGCUCGUAGUUGGAUUUCUGUUGAGAGCGACCGGUCCAUACCAUGUAUGCGUAUCUGGCUUGCUCUCGGCAUCCUCUCGAUAGACGUUACUGCGCUUGAUUGCGUGGUGCGGAUCUCGGGACUUUUACUUUGAGGAAAUUAGAGUGUUCACGGCAGGCUUUCGCCAGAAUACAUUAGCAUGGAAUAAUACUAUAGGAUCUUGGUUCUAUUUUGUUGGUUUCUAGAAUUGAGAUAAUGAUUAAUAGGGACAAUUGGGGGCAUUCGUAUCAACACGUCAGAGGUGGAAUCCUUGGAUUGUGUUGCGACGAACUACUGCGAAAGCAUUUGCCAAGGAUGUUUUCAUUGA